CUUCUUUCAGAUAGGAACUGUGUGAUAAUAAUUACAAGAAUUUGUCACGAUCUAAUUUAUUGGCCAAAAAAGAAAAGGUAUUUUAGACCCUUGAAAAUACCUCUGAAAUCUUAUUUGACAUACAUGUUUUAUCUCACCUCACCCAGAUGCUCACUUAUUCUAAUUCACGAAUUGCCAAGCCCCUAGCUUCCCGCUCUCACAAAGGCUCCAGUCACUGACAGUACCUGCACUCUCCCACUCAGUCGGCUAUUUGCGAUCCUUCCAUAAACUAUAUUUUCUUUACAGGUAUUUGUAAUGCUUUACCAAAUGCUUUUAUCAAAAGAAUUUUAAAAGGCAUAAUAAAUUAUAUUAAAAACCAAAAUUUUCCUGAGAGUAAGAACAUUUCAUCCAAUAAAAUAUUUUUGAAAAGCAUGUUCCUCUGUCAGUGAGAAAAAAAAAGGUGUAAUAUGUUUAUGUUGUGGUAUUAAAAAUGACAUUUGUCUCAUAACCUAAUAUAAUGUGUAGCUGAGUUUAACAUGUGUGGUCUUAGCAUUUUUAAAGGAACUCCCACAUUAUACGCUUGAUGUAUUAACCAGAAUAUGUACAAUAUGCUUAUAAAUCUGAAGAAUAAAUGGUUCCUCAGUAAGUCAAAAAGAAAAUAGAAGCUUAUGUUUCCAACAAAAACAGGAUCUCCUUCUCUUAUUAUAUUUCCUAAGUGAACUGUAAAAACUAAAAGGCGAAGGUUUACAUUAAGUUCAAUGGGCUUUCUUAAAGACAAUUUAAGAAUCUACNNNNNNNNNNNNNUUUCACCUUGCUUUAUAGGCCAGUCUUUCACUUUUUUUUUUUUUUUUUUGGUGACAACACACAAAGUUGUGUGACUGAGCAUUAACUGAAGUGCUGAGGAAAAAAAAAAAACCUACAGGGACAGCAUGUGAGAGCAGUCAUUUGCAACAGUCUACUAAUGGUGACUUUGUUUAUCGGCCGGAUUACAGCAAUUCAGCAUUAAAUUCUUCCCAGGGGCCCCUUGCCAGAAGCCCCCCAAUUUCUAAUUCUGACUUCCUAUUCUCAGCCCAUUUUCUCUCCUGCUCCAAACCCUUAUUCCAGGAUUUUCCACCCACCAUUUCAGAAUGUGACGCCUUCCUAUGCAGAGGUUGGUUUCCCCCCAGACUCCAUUACCCCUCCGAAGUUAUAAAUACUCAGUAAAACCAAAACGAUUUCUCAAGAAUUCCAGAAGGACUGUUCAACUGGGUUUUGUUCUCCACAUCUAGCCAUCUUCAAAGUCUUUCCACCAGGGGGAUUAAAGAUAGUUUGAUUUCUUUGGAAUGUCUACUUAGUAAGUCCUGGAUUAACCAUGCGCAGGCUGCAAGUAUAAACACAAAUACACACACAUGUCCCAAGGACAGACAUUAAUUCCUAAAUAUAAAUUUAAACCCAGAAGAAGGAAGAGCAUUCCCUAACUGCCUGAUGAUAAUUUUGCAAGGCUAUAGCACUAAUACACAUGAUGGUGAUUAUUAUUCACGCUACUCUCUCUGCCCUGGUGACAGUGUACUUUUGUGGCCUAUGGAUGCUAAGCUUGAUCUGCUUUGGUCAUUGGCUGAAAUAUUAGCAGACAGGAGCUGAUCAAGGAUCUUAAAUCUUGCUUUUCAGUGCGUCAGUGCUAUGAGAAGAGCAUGUUUCUGGGAGCUACAGCCCCUUCUGCCUGUUUCCAGAACAAAUGUAUACGAGGCAAACUCACAUUCUGGAACUAAAUCCAGGCAACUCACAGUCUGAAGCAGAGCUGUCCAGAUGAGCGCAGCCUAAAUAAACUGAACUUGUCACCUUGACAACAGUCUCCGAGCAGUUGGUUACAGAGCCUUAGUGUAUCACAAAAUAAUGAAAAAAAUUUCCAUGUAUUCAUUCUGCUACCAAUUCUAUCCCUUUCAAACUGUGCCUUCCUGAGCCUAGAGUACAAAAAAAGAGCCAAUAUUAAGCCAUAAACCUCUUAAUACUGAUCCCAAGGAUAAGCAGAGACCCUGCCCAAGCUCUGAAAUUUUCAUCUUUAAAGAUCUGUCUUGGUUCAGCUCCUCCUAAAAGCAGAGCCUCAGACAAUGAAUGACUGGGUACAGGCAGUUUAUUUAGGAGGCAAACAAAAGCAGAGAGAAAAAAAUGACUCUCACAUACCUGCAAGGAGUCACACAAUGAAGCCACACUUAUCAUCAGCAUGAGACUUCCCAAAGACUAGAAUGGAUGCUUCAACUAACUGACAAUGACUUCGGUAGAAAGUAGCUCAGNNNNNNNNNNNNNNNNNNNNNNNNNNNNNNNNNNNNNNNNNNNNNNNNNNNNNNNNNNNNNNNNNNNNNNNNNNNNNNNNNNNNNNNNNNNNNNNNNNNGAAUGGAUGCUUCAACUAACUGACAAUGACUUCGGUAGAAAGUAGCUCAGAGCAGACAUCCAUGCUACCCUCUCUCCCUCAUCCAAUACUGUCACAGUCCAC
This 2450-nucleotide long non-coding RNA is filed under the name Capra hircus (goat). Its description in RNAcentral is "lncRNA (ENSCHIG00010028823.1)". The record is from RNAcentral. Lineage: Eukaryota; Metazoa; Chordata; Mammalia; Artiodactyla; Bovidae.